CGUGUAGGCGGCCCCGUUAGUCCGCUGUGAAAGUCCAGGGCUCAACCCUGGAAUGCCGGUGGGAUACUGCAGGGCUAGAGUCCGGAAGGGGCGAGUGGAAUUCCUGGUGUAGCGGUGAAAUGCGCAGAUAUCAGGAGGAACACCAAUGGCGAAGGCAGCUCGCUGGGACGUGACUGACGCUGAGACGCGAAAGCGUGGGGAGCAAACAGGAUUACGAUACCCUGGUAGUCCCACGCUGUAAACGAUGGCAACUAGAUGUGGGGGGUGUCGACUCCCCCCCGUGUCGAAGCUAACGCAUUAAGUUGCCCGCCUGGGGAGUACGGCCGCAAGGCUAAA
This 336-nucleotide ribosomal RNA is filed under the name uncultured bacterium. Its description in RNAcentral is "bacterial SSU rRNA". It matches the Rfam family "Bacterial small subunit ribosomal RNA", at positions 568 to 898 of the family's 1533-position model. The record is from RNAcentral.